Long non-coding RNA from Vidua chalybeata, 605 nucleotides. RefSeq lists it as uncharacterized. The transcript is spliced from 4 exons. Lineage: Eukaryota; Metazoa; Chordata; Aves; Passeriformes; Viduidae. The record is from RefSeq and is a predicted model, not a curated record.
UGAAGACUAGUGCAAAGAAAAUUCAUUGUACAAACAUCCUGCCCAAGAAAGGAAGGUUUGCCCAUACUCCAUCUACAGGAUUUAGUCCUUUGUAGCCACAUACAGUAUGGGACAGAAGAGUUUGGAAAAGAUUCAUCUAUCAAGUUUAACAACUUUCUGGUGUAACUUCAGAGAGGUUUAUUGCUUAUUCAUGUGGAAGACUGACCCUGAAUCUUCCAGGCCCUGGAAGAUUUUCUGUCUUCAGGGAAUGUGAGGAAGUGUGGAGACAAAGGGAGAGACUUGAAGUAUUUCUCCAGGAAGAAAAGAUUGCACCUGUUCUUAGGACAUGAUGAGAGGAUUGUGAAGACAGUGAUGGAACAUACAACAAAAACCUGUUGCUUCAUGCUCUGUGACACGUUUGCUGUACCAGGAAUGAAACAGAGAGAAGGAAUUCGGCCAUUGGGAUGAUGAAAUCUGGAUCCUGGUUCUAUAAGCUGCUGAUGAUAUGGACUUCUGUUGUCAUUUGGAUGUGUUUUUAUAUUCACUGUCUUAAUUAAUAGUUAUGGAUGUUGCAUGACAUGGUGUUAACACCCUAUCUGAAAAUAAAAUGAGUACUGACAUGUCAA